CAAUUGUUUAAGAAAAUAUAACUUUUUUUCUCACUCAGAAGCCAAAAUAAUUCGGUCAUAGAGAGCCCUCCCUAUGCGAUUAUUCACUUCGCCAGAAUUACAGGCCGUGAUGAAGAACUGAUUUUCACUGAAAAAUAUUAGGUUUAAUGUUCUCUGUGUGACCAUGGUCAGCCUCUCCAAGGAUAAAUUUUCGCAAAUUUUCGGGCUUAAUAUGGAAGAUGCAAUUCAUUGCCGAAAUUCACCUUUUGUUUUAUUCAACCCUUUCGCUUAAGUUGCCCGACACUACAACCCUAUGCAUCUUUACGUUGCUUAACAUCUCAGAGUAGCAGAUGGUUAACUCAACUGGUGUAGCUAACCUUUGGCAGAUUGUCAGCAGUAGUCAAAUAAAGAACAUGUCUUUCAAAGCUAAA
This is a long non-coding RNA of Daphnia magna, 410 nucleotides long. RefSeq lists it as uncharacterized. The record is from RefSeq and is a predicted model, not a curated record. NCBI's taxonomy places the organism in Eukaryota, Metazoa, Arthropoda, Branchiopoda, Diplostraca, Daphniidae. The transcript is spliced from 2 exons.